ACGAACGCUGGCGGCGUGCUUAACACAUGCAAGUCGAACGGAAAGGCCCCUUUGGGGGUACUCGAGUGGCGAACGGGUGAGUAACACGUGAGUAACCUGCCCUUGACUUCGGGAUAACUUCAGGAAACUGGGGCUAAUACCGGAUAGGAAUCCUUGCUGUAUGGUGGGGGUUGGAAAGCUUCGGCGGUUUUGGAUGGACUCGCGGCUUAUCAGCUUGUUGGUGGGGUAGUGGCUUACCAAGGCUUUGACGGGUAGCCGGCCUGAGAGGGCGACCGGCCACAUUGGGACUGAGAUACGGCCCAGACUCCUACGGGAGGCAGCAGUGGGGAAUAUUGCACAAUGGGCGGAAGCCUGAUGCAGCAACGCCGCGUGCGGGAUGACGGCCUUCGGGUUGUAAACCGCUUUCAGCAGGGGCGAAGCUUGUGGUGACGGUACCUGCAGAAGAAGCACCGGCUAACUACGUG
RNAcentral lists this ribosomal RNA (464 nucleotides) under uncultured bacterium. RNAcentral describes it as "partial 16S ribosomal RNA". It matches the Rfam family "Bacterial small subunit ribosomal RNA", at positions 29 to 507 of the family's 1533-position model. The record is from RNAcentral.